This 415-nucleotide ribosomal RNA is filed under the name uncultured bacterium. RNAcentral's name for it is "bacterial SSU rRNA". It matches the Rfam family "Bacterial small subunit ribosomal RNA", at positions 355 to 787 of the family's 1533-position model. The record is from RNAcentral.
UGGGGGAUAUUGCACAAUGGGGGAAGCCCUGAUGCAGCGACGCCGCGUGGGUGAAGGAGCGUUUCGGCGCGUAAAGCCCUAUCGGCAGGGAAGAAGACGACGGUACCUGACCAAGAAGCCCCGGCUAACUACGUGCCAGCAGCCGCGGUAAUACGUAGGGGGCAAGCGUUAUCCGGAUUUACUGGGUGUAAAGGGGGCGCAGACGGCAAUGCAAGCCAGGAGUGAAAGCCCGGGGCCCAACCCCGGGACUGCUCUUGGAACUGCAUGGCUGGAGUACAGGAGGGGCAGGCGGAAUUCCUAGUGUAGCGGUGAAAUGCGUAGAUAUUAGGAGGAACACCAGUGGCGAAGGCGGCCACCUGCCACAUAACUGACGCUGAGGUGCGAAAGCGUGGGUAGCAAACAGGAUUAGAUACCC